CCCAAGGGUAUGGCUGUUCGCCAUUUAAAGCGGUACGUGAGCUGGGUUUAGAACGUCGUGAGACAGUUCGGUCCCUAUCUACCGUGGGAGUAGGAGAUUUGAGAGGAUUUGCCCUUAGUACGAGAGGACCGGGGUGAACGAACCUCUGGUGGACCUGUUGUUGCGCCAGCAGCAUAGCAGGGUAGCUAAGUUCGGAACGGAUAACCGCUGAAAGCAUCUAAGCGGGAAACCAGCCUCAAUACUAGAUCUCCCUUGAGAGUCGUCCAAGACCAGGACGUUGAUAGGUCAGGUGUGGAAGCGUCGUAAGACGUGAAGCUUACUGAUACUAAUAACUCGAUUGACUUGAUUCCC
Molecule: ribosomal RNA, 351 nt
Filed under: Robiginitomaculum sp.
Lineage: Bacteria; Pseudomonadati; Pseudomonadota; Alphaproteobacteria; Maricaulales; Robiginitomaculaceae
Description: bacterial LSU rRNA
Rfam family: Bacterial large subunit ribosomal RNA
Source: RNAcentral